This 301-nucleotide ribosomal RNA is filed under the name uncultured bacterium. Its description in RNAcentral is "partial 16S ribosomal RNA". It matches the Rfam family "Bacterial small subunit ribosomal RNA", at positions 509 to 807 of the family's 1533-position model. The record is from RNAcentral.
CAGUCGCCGCGGGAAUACAGAGGGUGCGAGCGUUAAUCGGAUUUACUGGGCGUAAAGCGUGCGUAGGCGGCUUCUUAAGUCGGAUGUGAAAUCCCUGAGCUUAACUUGGGAAUUGCAUUCGAUACUGGGAAGCUAGAGUAUGGGAGAGGAUGGUAGAAUUCCAGGUGUAGCGGUGAAAUGCGUAGAGAUCUGGAGGAAUACCGGUGGCGAAGGCGGCCCCCUGGACAAAGACUGACGCUCAGGUGCGAAAGCGUGGGGAGCAAACAGGAUUAGAUACCCGGGUAGUCCCUGUCUCUUAUAC